UUCAAAGGGAAGUUCUUCUACUGCUUUGGCCCCGACGUCAAGAACAUCACCAACAAGUCUGACUGUCUGCAGGCCAACUACAAAUGGGUUCAUCACAAGUACAACUUUGACAACCUGGGACAGGCUCUGAUGUCCCUGUUUGUGCUGGCUUCAAAGGACGGUUGGGUCAACAUCAUGUACCAUGGCCUGGAUGCUGUAGGGGUGGACCAACAGCCAGUGAUCAACAACAGUCCAUGGAUGCUCCUCUACUUCAUCUCCUUCCUCCUCAUCGUCAGUUUCUUCGUUCUGAACAUGUUUGUGGGCGUGGUAGUGGAGAACUUCCACA
Oncorhynchus nerka (sockeye salmon) is the source of this 325-nucleotide long non-coding RNA. RefSeq lists it as uncharacterized. The transcript is spliced from 3 exons. The record is from RefSeq and is a predicted model, not a curated record. Lineage: Eukaryota; Metazoa; Chordata; Actinopteri; Salmoniformes; Salmonidae.